This is a non-coding RNA of Pelobates cultripes (western spadefoot toad), 261 nucleotides long. The record is from the annotation of a GenBank genome assembly. NCBI's taxonomy places the organism in Eukaryota, Metazoa, Chordata, Amphibia, Anura, Pelobatidae.
AAAGCAGUUUUUUUCCAGCCAUCUGAUAUCUAUUAAGUGCUGGAAAGACUGCCAGUCCCAGAAAGUAAAUUUGAAUGUGAAGAUAACUGCUUCAGACAUCCACCAAUCUAUUUCUCCUUCGUCUUCUUAAGAAUUCCUCCUCUGUUUGGGAAAACAAAUUUGUAAUAAAUCUUACAGGCCAGAUCUAUUUAUGAGAUGCACAGGGAUAACAUGAAAAGACCACGGGUUAAUAAGUUUAAAUAGAUUUAAAAAUAACUCAAG